Paramuricea clavata is the source of this 267-nucleotide non-coding RNA. The record is from the annotation of a GenBank genome assembly. Lineage: Eukaryota; Metazoa; Cnidaria; Anthozoa; Malacalcyonacea; Plexauridae.
AAAUUUUGAAAUAAAUUUAAAAUUUCAGGUUUAAAACAUGGCAAAUGAAUAACUAAAGAUGGAUUUUUAAAAACUAAAAGGAAAUGCACGCACUUUUUCAAACGGUGAAGCGAGAAUUAUUGAUUUUGACACGAAAGAACCAAGCAAGGCAAGCAUAAAAGUUGAACUUUAUUAGUAAAACUGGGAUCCAUAUAAAAGGCCAAGUUACCAAGUAUUUGUAUUUCAAUUUUUCCUUGGACUUCCUACCCAAUUGGAGAUGAAAAGGCG